Molecule: non-coding RNA, 949 nt
Organism: Rattus norvegicus (Norway rat)
Lineage: Eukaryota; Metazoa; Chordata; Mammalia; Rodentia; Muridae
Source: RefSeq, a predicted model, not a curated record
GGCCUUGUUGGAGUAGAUGUGUCACUAUGGGGUUGGGCUUUAAGACCCUCAUCCUGGCUGCUUGGAAGCCAGUAUUCUGCUAGCAGCCUUCAGUUGAAGAUGUAGAACUCUCAGCUCCUUCUGUACCAUGCCUACCUGGAUACAGCCAUGUUCCUGCCUUGAUGAUUGUGAACUGAACCUCUGAACCUAUCACAACCUGACUUGGCAGUGGUCCUUGUAACAGCAUUUAUAGAAGGACUCCGGCUGAUUGUCCUGAGGGCCUUCCAGGAAAGUCUCCAAAGACCACCAGGACUCACCCAUAGAGUAGAUGCUCACCUCUGCUCUCUCCUGUAAUCACACUCUGAUGUGAAUCCCGUGCCAGCAUGUCUUCAUGCUCUACUAAGCUGCAGAAACAGUUGCCCCCAAGGAAAGCAUGAAGUUUUGACAGAGACGGUUGGGAAGGACUUUGUAGAGUUUUAGGUCUCCAUGUUGCUUCUGAAGUUAUACAGAAUUCUUUCCCCCAAAUAUUGAGCACAUUUUAGGUCCUGUCACACUUCAAAGUGGAAACCUUCCUCCUUCCUAUCAUUCUGCUACCCUGGAGAGAUGGGAAAAGAUCAACUUGAGCUAAUGGUCGUUGUGGUAGCUGUGCAGAGGGACCUUCUCAGGAAGAACCAAUGUCCAAACUCCAGCCUGCUCAGUGUGGUAUGUUCCAUAGGAAGCAUUGUUAUCUUGGAAUACUAAAUCGAUUCUUUAAAAAAAAAAAAUUUACAGGGCUAGGGAGGUGGCUAAGUCAGCUAGGUUUUGCCAUGCAGGCAUGAAACCAGACUCAUACCAGUCCAACAGAUUUCAAACCGGAACCAACGACUUCAAACUCUUGCUUCUACUUCCCAAGUGCUGAGACUGUAGACAUGUCCACGACUACACUGACUUAACUACAACAGCAUUUUGAAUUCAAUAUAAUGGUCUUUUC